Long non-coding RNA from Trifolium pratense (red clover), 649 nucleotides. RefSeq lists it as uncharacterized. The transcript is spliced from 2 exons. The record is from RefSeq and is a predicted model, not a curated record. NCBI's taxonomy places the organism in Eukaryota, Viridiplantae, Streptophyta, Magnoliopsida, Fabales, Fabaceae.
UUACAAUUAUAAUUUUAAAAAGGAUGUCUUACAACUGUGUAAGAGCAAAAAACUAUAUAAUUAAUUUAAGGAGAUAAUAAAAUUUACAAAGUGAUAAAGUCAUUUAUUAUACAAAGGAGAGAAAUAUGUUAAAAAUUGUCAAAUUUAUUUAUGCUAUAUUUAUCUUUUAUUUCAUAAUUUUAGUUCCAACGAACGUAAAUGGCUAUACCUGCAGAACACAUUAUGAGUGUCUAAACAAGCGUUGUAUCAAGCCUGAAGGACCGAGGUGUGUCAAUGGCCAUUGUAAAUGUGCUUAACUGAUAUUGCACAUAGGUCCUGUACCCAAAUAAUUUAUAUUUAGCGUAUGUUUGGUUUUGUGAAAAGAAAGUGGAAGGAAAAAAAUUAUAAUCAUCGAUGGAUGAACUUAGACUAACUCUAAUUCAAGUUCAUUUAUCGGUUUUCGUAAUUUUCUUUCCUUCUACUUUCUUUCAUUCAAAGUGUACUCCUAUGAAUGUCUUGCUAGAAUAUUCUAUGGGUGUACGUCAUUUAUUUAUUGCGUUGGUAUCAAAUAAUUAAUGUUUUCUCUACUUUUUUUCUAAUUUCAAGAACCUUGUAUUUUUUAAUUUGUACUUUAAAUUGAUUGUAAUUAAAUGAAAUAAGGCUUCAAAUA